This 468-nucleotide ribosomal RNA is filed under the name uncultured bacterium. RNAcentral's name for it is "partial 16S ribosomal RNA". It matches the Rfam family "Bacterial small subunit ribosomal RNA", at positions 28 to 507 of the family's 1533-position model. The record is from RNAcentral.
GACGAACGCUGGCGGCGUGCUUAACACAUGCAAGUCGAACGGAAAGGUCCUGCUUUUGCUUGGUGCUCGAGUGGCGAACGGGUGAGUAACACGUGAGUAACCUGCCCUUGACUUUGGGAUAACUUCAGGUAACUGGGGCUAAUACCGGCUAGGAGCUCCUGCUGCAUGUUGUGGGUUGGAAAGUUUCGGCGGUUGGGGAUGGACUCGCGGCUUAUCAGCCCGUCGGUGGGGUAGCGGCUUACCAAGGUUUUGACGGGUAGCCGGCCUGAGAGGGUGACCGGCCACAGUGGGACUGGGAUACGGCCCAGAGUGCUACGGGGGGAAGCAGUGGGAAAUAUUGCACGAUGGGCGGAAGCAGGAUGCAGCAACGCCGCGUGCGGGAUGACGGCCGUCGGGUUGUAAACGGCUUUCGCCUGUGACGAUGCGUGAGUGACGGUAAUUGGUAAAGAAGCACCGGCUAACUACGUG